RNAcentral lists this ribosomal RNA (556 nucleotides) under uncultured Rhodocyclaceae bacterium. Its description in RNAcentral is "bacterial SSU rRNA". It matches the Rfam family "Bacterial small subunit ribosomal RNA", at positions 9 to 558 of the family's 1533-position model. The record is from RNAcentral. Lineage: Bacteria; Pseudomonadati; Pseudomonadota; Betaproteobacteria; Rhodocyclales; Rhodocyclaceae.
GAGUUUGAUCAUGGCUCAGAUUGAACGCUGGCGGCAUGCCUUACACAUGCAAGUCGAACGGCAGCACGGGAGCUUGCUCCUGGUGGCGAGUGGCGAACGGGUGAGUAAAGCAUCGGAACGUACCUUGUCGAGGGGGAUAACGCAGCGAAAGUUGUGCUAAUACCGCAUACGUCCUGAGGGAGAAAGCGGGGGACCGCAAGGCCUCGCGCGAUGAGAGCGGCCGAUGUCAGAUUAGCUAGUUGGUGAGGUAAAGGCUCACCAAGGCGACGAUCUGUAGCGGGUCUGAGAGGAUGAUCCGCCACACUGGGACUGAGACACGGCCCAGACUCCUACGGGAGGCAGCAGUGGGGAAUUUUGGACAAUGGGGGAAACCCUGAUCCAGCCAUGCCGCGUGAGUGAAGAAGGCCUUCGGGUUGUAAAGCUCUUUCGGCCGGGAAAAAAUUGCACGGAUGAACAGUCUGUGUAGAUGAUGGUACCGGACUAAGAAGCACCGGCUAACUACGUGCCAGCAGCCGCGGUAAUACGUAGGGUGCGAGCGUUAAUCGGAAUUACUGGG